This 24-nucleotide small RNA is filed under the name Arabidopsis thaliana (thale cress). Its description in RNAcentral is "ATSL154060". Lineage: Eukaryota; Viridiplantae; Streptophyta; Magnoliopsida; Brassicales; Brassicaceae. The record is from RNAcentral.
UCCGUCGUUCCCUUUGAAUCUCCU